Long non-coding RNA from Callithrix jacchus (white-tufted-ear marmoset), 2217 nucleotides. RefSeq lists it as uncharacterized. NCBI's taxonomy places the organism in Eukaryota, Metazoa, Chordata, Mammalia, Primates, Cebidae. The record is from RefSeq and is a predicted model, not a curated record.
GUGGGCCCUGCCCCCGCCCCAGGCAAAGGAGCCUGUCUGUGCAAGGGCUCUUCCCCAGAGGAAAAUCAAUAGUGAGGGUAGUGGCCACAGUGGCUGGUUUGUCAUCUGAGGGCCUUUGUGAAUUAUUUUAUUGGUAGGUGCUGGAGCAGCCAGUCAAGGAAGAGUCGCUGCAGCCCUGGACACAACACAACAGCAGUUGUGAGCCAUCCUAGAAAUCCUUCCCCAUUUUGAGCCAACUCAUUGUGGUGAUAUUAUAAAUUUGUCUCAUUGCCUAGACCUGAGGCUGGCGACCUGGGGAAACCCUCCUGCCACAUAGAGGAGAAGUAUGAGUGCAUGGAAUGACUGCUGACACUCAAUGAUACUGGCCUUGUAAACUGGGCAGGUACAGACUAAUUAGAAUGUGCUAGAGCUACUCCAGGGAGAACCGAGAAGGCACAUCCAAUUCAUGAACUUAGUCAAACCAGAUAUGCCGCUUCACUGUUACCAAGCCACUUCACAUCCCAGCAUCUCGGAAACUCAUUGCAUUGUCUGGUGAAGCAUAGGAAAUUGGUUCUUGAGGAUAAGGGUCACAGUAAGAAAAUAUUCAUGUUUCAAAUGAGAAGCUGAAGAAUCACACGUAUUUCCAAAGGAGGAAGUCCUAAUGGUUUUCUGAACGCACAAAUGACAGCUUGUGAGAAGCAUUUAAAGAGCUGUCCUGCUAACUCGAAAGGCCCAAGGUUUGUUUUCUUUGAGAUUUCUUAAUGGAGUCUGAACACUUCAUUGUGUUCACUGGAGCAGCGAAUUGAUUAUAAAGUGGCAGGCCUUAAAAGGGAAGCCAGUGAGUUGGAGCACAAUUUGCGUGAAAUAUGUUAUUAUUGUCUGCUUUUUCCGAUGGUAUUUAAAUGCUCUUAUGAGAAAUGAGUAUGACCUCUUCUUAGAUUGUUUCCUUUGUUCAUUACAGUCACCCUAGAGGGGUCAUCCCUCCCACUCCUUUCAAGACAUCAUGCCCAAGUCGCCACUUGGGGGCAGUCUAGUGCCUUUGUCCCUUCCCAUCGCCAUUUUUCCUGCCUGCCUUCUCUCUUAGGUGGUUGACCUGGUUUCUGGUCCCUCUUAUAAUAAAACGGUCAUUACCAAUCUCUGCAGUUUCUUUAAAAAGAAACAAAGGGUUGCAUUCUUAACAUUUUGAAAAAUACUACAAUGCAUGCGUACCAGUUUUGAAGGGGCAUUCUGGAGUACUAUUUCUCAGAAGGAUGUAGGCAGGGCAGCCACGGUGAUCACCUGCUUCAGAACAGACACCUUGGCUUGGGAAGGUUGAAUCAAUGUUUAAACCUCAGAUGGCUCCGAAGGGGUAGGUUCUCUGAUUCUUUGGUCAGUGCUCUUUCCUCUUAUCAUGCUGAAAUAGGACCCAGCUUUUAUUUUGCAGGAAGGUCAUUGUUUAAUGAAGAUAACCAAACAACAAAUAGCAGUACAAAUAAUUCAAUAGAAAAAGGAAAUCACAUAAUCACAUUAUUUUCCUGUAUGUGCUCAUAAAAUGGUUUCAACUCAGGGAAGAAAAAAAAAAAUCACAAUUCCCUUUCAAAGUUUAAUAAAAAUUCACUUAAACAUAGGAAUAAACAGCUUGUCCCGAUCCUUUCUCCAUCCUUCCAUGCUCACCAGGCAAUUUAAUUAAUGGGCAAACAGCCCGAUGGUAGAGUUUUCUGAUACAGUGGCAUGAACGAGUGAGAUCCAUCUUUGCACGUAGCUUGCUGGCACAUCAGUCUUGUUGGCUGCAUUACAGAAACAGAACAGAGUCGUAUGUUUCCUGGAAAGUAAUUAUUUGGCAGAGUUCUAUUCCUGAGUGAAUCCACACAGAAAAAGUACUCAGGUGGCCCUCACUGGUGCCAGGGCCUGGGGUGGAUAGCAGAGGGUGUGUGUUGAAUAUGCGUGUAAUGGUUUGAGCUCCCGAGGUGGAGAGGGAGAACACAGCGUGGGAAUACAAACCCAUAAGAACAGGGCUGUAAAUCAUGCCUACUUCCUCUGUUCCUGUAAUUUAUUCAUUUAGCCAUCAAAUACGUGCUGACUAUUACAUGCUCAGCACUGAGCAAAGUGAGCACAAGAAACCAACCUUUUUUUUUUUUCUUGAGACAGGAUCUUGCUCUGUUGCCCAGGCAGUGCUAUGGCUCACUGCAGCCUCAACCUCCUGAGCUCAAGUGACCCUCCCACCUCAACCUCCCAAGUAGCUGGGACUAUAAGCAUGCA